This is a non-coding RNA of Schistocerca serialis cubense, 75 nucleotides long. NCBI's taxonomy places the organism in Eukaryota, Metazoa, Arthropoda, Insecta, Orthoptera, Acrididae. The record is from the annotation of a RefSeq genome assembly.
GCUUGGGUAGCUCAAUUGGUAGAGCACUUGCCCUGGCAAGGCAAAGGCCCCGAGUUCGAAUCUCGGUCUGGGACA